This 431-nucleotide ribosomal RNA is filed under the name uncultured Parachlamydia sp. RNAcentral's name for it is "bacterial SSU rRNA". It matches the Rfam family "Bacterial small subunit ribosomal RNA", at positions 958 to 1390 of the family's 1533-position model. Lineage: Bacteria; Pseudomonadati; Chlamydiota; Chlamydiia; Parachlamydiales; Parachlamydiaceae. The record is from RNAcentral.
AACGCGAAGAACCUUACCCAGACUUGACAUGCAGUAGACAGUUCUAGAAAUAGAAUCUUCCUUCGGGACUGCUGCACAGGUGCUGCAUGGCUGUCGUCAGCUCGUGCCGUGAGGUGUUGGGUUAAGUCCCGCAACGAGCGCAACCCUUAUCAUUAGUUGCCAACAUUUAAGGUGGGAACUCUAAUGAGACUGCCUGGGUUAACCAGGAGGAAGGUGAGGAUGACGUCAAGUCCGCAUGGCCCUUAUGUCUGGGGCUACACACGUGCUACAAUGGUCGGUACAGAAGGCAGCGAAGCCGCGAGGUGAAGCAAAUCCAAAAAGCCGAUCCCAGUUCAGAUUGUAGUCUGCAACUCGACUACAUGAAGAUGGAAUUGCUAGUAAUGGCGAGUCAGCAACAUCGCCGUGAAUACGUUCCCGGGUCUUGUACACAC